RNAcentral lists this ribosomal RNA (847 nucleotides) under Pseudomonas sp. RNAcentral's name for it is "bacterial SSU rRNA". It matches the Rfam family "Bacterial small subunit ribosomal RNA", at positions 602 to 1453 of the family's 1533-position model. The record is from RNAcentral. Lineage: Bacteria; Pseudomonadati; Pseudomonadota; Gammaproteobacteria; Pseudomonadales; Pseudomonadaceae.
CCCGGGCUCAACCUGGAACUGCAUCCAAACUGGCGAGCUAGAGUACGUAGAUGGUGGUGGAUUUCCUGUGUAGCGGUGAAAUGCGUAGAUAUAGGAAGGAUCCCAGUGGCGAAGGCGACCACCUGGACUGAUACUGACACUGAGGUGCGAAAGCGUGGGGAGCAACCAGGAUUAGAUACCCUGGUAGUUCACGCCGUAAACGAUGUCAACUAGCCGUUGGAAUCCUUGAGAUUUUAGUUGCGCAGCUAACGCAUUAAGUUGACCGCCUGAGGAGUACGGCCGCAAGGUUAAACUCAAAUGAAUUGACGGGGGCCCGCACAAGCGGUGGGGCAUGUGGUUUAAUUCGAAGCAACGCGAAGAACCUUACCAGGCCUUGACAUGCAGAGAACUUUCCAGAGAUGGAUUGGUGACUUCGGGAACUCUGACACAGGUGCUGCAUGGCUGUCGUCAGCUCGUGUCGUGAGAUGUUGGGUUAAGUCCCGUAACGAGCGCAACCCUUGUCCUUAGUUGCCAGCACGUAAUGGUGGGCACUCUAAGGAGACUGCCGGUGACAAACCGGAGGAAGGUGGGGAUGACGUCAAGUCAUCAUGGGCCUUACGGCCUGGGCUACGCACGUGCUACAAUGGUCGGUACAGAGGGUUGCCAAGCCGCGAGGUGGAGCUAAUCUCACAAAACCGAUCGUAGUCCGGAUCGCAGUCUGCAACUCGGCUGCGUGAAGUCGGAAUCGCUAGUAAUCGCGAAUAAGAGUGUCGCGGUGAAUCCGUUCCCGGGCCUGGUACACUCCAUUAGAGGGCACCAUGGGAGUGGGUGCACCAGAAGUAGCUAGUAUAACCUUCGGGAGGAGCGG